CAGUAGCCGCGGUAAUACGGAGGGAGCUAGCGUUGUUUGGAAUUACUGGGCGUAAAGCGCGCGUAGGCGGUUACUCAAGUCAGAGGUGAAAGCCCGGGGCUCAACCCCGGAACUGCCUUUGAAACUAGGUGACUAGAAUCUUGGAGAGGUCAGUGGAAUUCCGAGUGUAGAGGUGAAAUUCGUAGAUAUUCGGAAGAACACCAGUGGCGAAGGCGACUGACUGGACAAGUAUUGACGCUGAGGUGCGAAAGCGUGGGGAGCAAACAGGAUUAGAUACCCCAGUAGUCCCUGUCUCUUAUAC
This 301-nucleotide ribosomal RNA is filed under the name uncultured bacterium. RNAcentral's name for it is "partial 16S ribosomal RNA". It matches the Rfam family "Bacterial small subunit ribosomal RNA", at positions 509 to 807 of the family's 1533-position model. The record is from RNAcentral.